Ostrea edulis (European flat oyster) is the source of this 997-nucleotide long non-coding RNA. RefSeq lists it as uncharacterized. The record is from RefSeq and is a predicted model, not a curated record. NCBI's taxonomy places the organism in Eukaryota, Metazoa, Mollusca, Bivalvia, Ostreida, Ostreidae. The transcript has 3 exons.
GCAGGAGGUGGAAAUUUGAGUUUUUAUUCAAUUUGUUCUUCAGAAGUUUAUCAAUAUCAGAUGCUCUUUGUUCACUUAAUUCACUACCCGAUCUUUAUCUUCAAUUGUGCUAAAGGAUUCCGGUUUAUUUCAUGGAAUACAAAUCCGUUUGAUCUUUGCCAUAGUCACCGGACUCUAGCAUCCAAUCGUCUACGUAUUCGUAGAAAAAGUAAAUGUUGUGGAAUUUAACGCUUUAUUGCAUCACAUCCGACUAAAAAAAUGACCAGGGAAACAGAAGGCUGACAGACAUAUUCAUAGAAAAUAUGAAAAAGCCCUGCCUGUUGCCGUGUUGGAACUUGUAUUGACCUGUAUGAGCAUCAUACUGUGCAACUCACCUAAAGAUGGAGUUGACCAAGUUGCUGACUUUGAGGAGAACUUGAAGAGCAGAAGAUGCAUUCCAUGACUCUUAUGUGAUAUAGAAGACAAAGAAGAGCUCUUGAGAAUGGGAAAAAAACUGCGAGUUUUACAGUCAAUGAACACACCUCACGACACAAGUCCAUCCUGAUUCAGUAAACUAUUCUUCUAAGGAAACACCAUGACUUAGUUAAGAUCAAGUUUUGGUGUCAGAAGACUAAUGUAACUAAAACAUUGCAAAAUUAACCUGCAAGUGUCUUAUGUGACCCUGAUGAAUAAGGAUUCAUAACUGAACAGUUGAAGGAAAAUCACUAUUAUAAUGAUUUAAAAAAAAAGAUGAUUGUGUUGUUUGGAUAACAUAGUGAUCCAUGUUUGUUGAAUAAACAACUUUGCAAAAAUGAGUUGUUCUGUGUUAAUAUUAUAAAUUUACUAAUUACUGGUAUGUCAACAUAGAUUACAGUAACACUGAACAAACUUCAAUAAAUUUUAAAGUUUCAUGCAGUUUCUGCAGUAGAAAAUGACACCUAUUGAUUUUCUGGUCCAAAGGUCACUAGGUGCAAUACAAUACUCUGUACAAUUGAUGUCUGACCAGUUUCUUCAGAAC